RNAcentral lists this unclassified non-coding RNA (472 nucleotides) under Hevea brasiliensis (rubber tree). The record is from RNAcentral. Lineage: Eukaryota; Viridiplantae; Streptophyta; Magnoliopsida; Malpighiales; Euphorbiaceae.
GCAGCAGCAGCAACAACAACAGCAACAACCACAACAGCAAGUGUUUGAUCACCAACAAAUUCCAAGUCCCAUAUCUACAAUGUCUCAGUUCAGUUCUGCAUCCCAAUCCCAAUCCCAAUCCCUGCAAACUAUUCCUCCAUUAUGUCGGCAGCAAAGUUUUUCUGAUUCUAAUGCCAACCAUGUAACGAGUCCCAUCAUUUCACCCUUGCACAGCCUGUUAGGUUCAUUUCCGCAAGAUGAAUCAUCUCAGUUGCUUAAUCUGCCUCGAACCAAUCCCAUGAUACAUUCAUCUACUUGGCCGUCAAAGCGAGCUGCAGUGGAUCCUCUUCUCUCUUCUGGAAAUUCUCAGUUUGUUCUUUCCCAAGGGGAAAACAUGGGGACAACUCAGACUAAUAUCUCUCAGAAUGCUAUUUUGUUGCCGCCUUUUCCUGGAAGAGAGUGUUCAUUAGAUCAAGGGAAUGCUGAUCCGCAG